UGGAGAAAAGCAGGGGAUCGUAAGACCUUGCGCUUUUGGAGCGGCCGAUGUCUGAUUAGCUAGUUGGUGAGGUAAAGGCUUACCAAGGCUUCGAUCAGUAGCUGGUCUGAGAGGACGACCAGCCACACUGGGACUGAGUCACGGCCCAGACUCCUACGGGAGGCAGCAGUGGGGAAUUUUGGACAAUGGGCGCAAGCCUGAUCCAGCCAUGCCGCGUGAGUGAAGAAGGCCUUCGGGUUGUAAAGCUCUUUCAGCCGGGAAGAAAAGGCUGCGAUUAAUAAUCGCAGUUCAUGACGGUACCGGAAGAAGAAGCACCGGCUAACUACGUGCCAGCAGCCGCGGUAAUACGUAGGGUGCGAGCGUUAAUCGGAAUUACUGGGCGUAAAGCGUGCGCAGGUGGUUUUGUAAGUCAGAUGUGA
This 419-nucleotide ribosomal RNA is filed under the name uncultured ammonia-oxidizing beta proteobacterium. RNAcentral's name for it is "bacterial SSU rRNA". It matches the Rfam family "Bacterial small subunit ribosomal RNA", at positions 197 to 597 of the family's 1533-position model. Lineage: Bacteria; Pseudomonadati; Pseudomonadota; Betaproteobacteria. The record is from RNAcentral.